GACAGAGGGGGAAAGCGUUGUCCGGAGUUACUGGGCGUAAAGGGCGCGGAGGCGGUCUGCGGCGUCGGCGCUGAAAGCGCCCCGCUUAACGGGGCGAGGCGUGCCGAUACGCGCAGACUUGAGGCGAGCAGAGGGUGGUGGAAUUCCGGGUGGAGCGGUGAAAUGCGUAGAGAUCCGGAGGAACGCCAGUGGGGAAGCCGGCCACCUGGGCUCGUCCUGACGCUGCGGCGCGACCGCGUGGGGAGCAAACCGG
Molecule: ribosomal RNA, 253 nt
Filed under: uncultured bacterium
Lineage: Bacteria
Description: partial 16S ribosomal RNA
Rfam family: Bacterial small subunit ribosomal RNA
Source: RNAcentral